ACGGAAGGCAGCAGUGGGGAAUAUUGCGCAAUGGGCGGAAGCCUGACGCAGUGACGCCGCGUAUAGGAAGAAGGUUUUCGGAUUGUAAACUAUUUUAGACAGGGAAGAAUAAUGACAGUACCUGUAGAAUAAGCUCCGGCUAACUACGUGCCAGCAGCCGCGGUAAUACGUAGGGAGCAAGCGUUAUCCGGAUUUAUUGGGUGUAAAGGGUGCGUAGACGGGAAAUCAAGUUAGUUGUGAAAGCCCUCGGCUUAACUGAGGAACUGCAACUAAAACUAAUUUUCUUGAGUGCAGGAGAGGAAAGCGGAAUUCCUAGUGUAGCGGUGAAAUGCGUAGAUAUUAGGAGGAACACCAGUGGCGAAGGCGGCUUUCUGGACUGUAACUGACGUUGAUGCACGAAAGUGUGGGGAGCAAACAGGAUUAGAUACCCUGGUA
RNAcentral lists this ribosomal RNA (435 nucleotides) under uncultured Oscillospiraceae bacterium. Its description in RNAcentral is "partial 16S ribosomal RNA". It matches the Rfam family "Bacterial small subunit ribosomal RNA", at positions 341 to 792 of the family's 1533-position model. The record is from RNAcentral. Lineage: Bacteria; Bacillati; Bacillota; Clostridia; Eubacteriales; Oscillospiraceae.